RNAcentral lists this long non-coding RNA (1169 nucleotides) under Cyanistes caeruleus (blue tit). RNAcentral describes it as "lncRNA (ENSCCEG00000005794.1)". The record is from RNAcentral. Lineage: Eukaryota; Metazoa; Chordata; Aves; Passeriformes; Paridae.
GAAAAAAAAACUCAGGAGGGGAAAAAACGGGGGAAAUUCAGCUGGAAAUGGGCAAAAUUGGGGUGAAAAUGAUGGAAUUUGGAUAAAAACAGCUGGAUUUGGGAUAAAAACAGCUGGAUUUGGGAUAAAAACAGCUGGAUUUGGGAUAAAAAUGCCAGAAAAUGGGAUUAAAUUCCCACUGGAAUUCCCAAAAUUCCAACUGGAAAUUCCCAAAUUUCCUCUCUGGUUUUGUUUUUCUGUGUUUUUUGAGCAAUAAAAGGAUUUUUAUCAAUAAAAAAAUGCAAAUUUUAUCCAUUUGGAGUCGUUUUGUCUUUUCCUUGAAUUCCCUUUGAUCCCAAAAAUUCCCUUUUUAUCCCCAAAAAUUCCCUUUUUAUCCCAAAAAUUCCCUUUUUAUCCCAAAAAUUCCCUUUUUUUCCCCAAAAUUCUUUUUUUAUUCCCAAAAUUUCACUUUUUAUCCCCAGAAAUUCCCUUUUUAUUCCCAAAAAUUCCCUUUUUUUCCCAGAAAAAAAUUCCCAAAUUCCUUUUUUUCUUGAAACUCAACUUUAUUGACCCAAACCCGGCGCCGAUCCCGGGGAAUUCCGGGAAUUUCGGGAAUUCUGGGGGGGAUUUUGGGAAUUUUGGGGCCAUUUUUAUCAAUUUUGGGUCAUUUUUAUCAAUUUUGGGGCCAUUUUUAUCAAUUUUGGGGCCAUUCCUGAGGAUUUUGGGUCCAUUUUUGUGCAUUUUGGGUCGAUUUUUAUGGAUUUUGGGUCUAUUUCUGUCAUUCUGGGUCCAUUUCUGUGGAUUCCGGUGCCGUUUCUCCAUCUGGGGCCGUUUUUGGGUCGUUUUUGGCCAUUUUUGGGUCAUUUUUGGCCGUUUUUGGGCUGGUCUUGGGUCAUUUUUGGGCUGUUUUGGGCUGUUUUUGGGCAGGUUGGGCUGGUCUUGGGUCAUUUUUGGGCUGUUUUGGGCUGUUUUUGGGCAGGUUUUGUGUCUUUUUUGUCCAUUUUUGUCCGUUUCUGUCCAUUUUUGUGUCUUCUUUGUCCAUUUUUGCGUCGCUUCUGUCCAUUUCCGUGCGGUUUUGGGCCGUUUUUGGGUCAUUCUGGGUCAUUUUUGGGUCAUUUCUGUCUGUUUCUGUCCGUUUUUGUCACAUUUUUGUCCAUUUUUGUCCCAUUUUUCUGUCCAUUUCUGUCUUU